CCUACGGGUGGCAGCAGUGAGGAAUAUUGGUCAAUGGACGAGAGUCUGAACCAGCCAAGUAGCGUGCAGGAUGACUGCCCUAUGGGUUGUAAACUUCUUUUAUAUGGGAAUAAAAUGUUCCACGUGUGGGAUUUUGUAUGUACCAUAUGAAUAAGGAUCGGCUAACUCCGUGCCAGCAGCCGCGGUAAUACGGAGGAUCCGAGCUGUGUCCGGCUGUGUUGGGGUGAAAGGGAGCGUAGGUGGGUUGGUAAGGCAGUUGUGAAAGUUUGCGGCUCAACCGUAAAAUUGCAGUUGAAACUGGCAGUCUGGAGUACAGUAGAGGUGGGCGGAAUUCGUGGUGUAGCGGUGAAAUGCUUAGAUAGCACGAAGAACUCCGAUUGCGAAGGCAGUUCACUGGACUGCAACUGACACUGAGGCUCGAAAGUGUGGGUAUCAAACAGGAUUAGAUACCCUUGUAGUC
This 460-nucleotide ribosomal RNA is filed under the name uncultured bacterium. RNAcentral's name for it is "partial 16S ribosomal RNA". It matches the Rfam family "Bacterial small subunit ribosomal RNA", at positions 338 to 795 of the family's 1533-position model. The record is from RNAcentral.